RNAcentral lists this transfer RNA (90 nucleotides) under Clostridiaceae bacterium. RNAcentral describes it as "tRNA-Leu". It matches the Rfam family "tRNA". Rfam says of the family: Transfer RNA (tRNA) molecules are approximately 80 nucleotides in length. Their secondary structure includes four short double-helical elements and three loops (D, anti-codon, and T loops). The record is from RNAcentral. Lineage: Bacteria; Bacillati; Bacillota; Clostridia; Eubacteriales; Clostridiaceae.
GCCGGAGUGGCGGAAUUGGCAGACGCACAGGACUUAAAAUCCUGCGAGGCCUAUAACCUCGUACCGGUUCGAUUCCGGUCUCCGGCACCA